AAUCAACGCUGGCGGCGUGCCUCAGACAUGCAAGUCGAACGAUUAAAGCUCUCUUCGGAGAGUGCAUAGAGUGGCGCACGGGUGAGUAACACGUAAGUAAUCUACCUUUGAGUGGGGAAUAACGUCCGGAAACGGACGCUAAUACCGCAUAAUGCAGCGGCAUCGCAAGAUGACAGUUGUUAAAGAUUUAUCGCUUGAAGAGGAGCUUGCGGCAGAUUAGCUAGUUGGUAAGGUAAUGGCUUACCAAGGCUACGAUCUGUAACCGGUCUAAGAGGACGGUCGGUCACACUGACACUGAAUAACGGGUCAGACUCCUACGGGAGGCAGCAGUCGGGAAUUUUGGGCAAUGGGCGAAAGCCUGACCCAGCAACGCCGCGUGAAGGAUGAAGUAUUUCGGUAUGUAAACUUCAUAAGAAUGGGACGAAUAAGU
Molecule: ribosomal RNA, 430 nt
Filed under: uncultured bacterium
Lineage: Bacteria
Description: bacterial SSU rRNA
Rfam family: Bacterial small subunit ribosomal RNA
Source: RNAcentral